UCUUCGCUCAAAAGAAACCAGAGAAAGUGAGAGAAAUCGAGAAAAAAGAAAACUAAUAUCAAUCUGAAACAGAAACUGAACCAAAACUCUUAGUUGAUUUAUGAUUUUCUAAACCUAAAUCUCAUUUGAAAAACCCUAAUUUACAAAUCAAAAUCUUUGAUUUUGUAAACUGAGUUUUGAUUUUGGAUUGAAACUCUCGGAAGAAGAUUCAAUUGAAAAGUAGAAACCCUACAAAUCUCUAUCCUCAGGUAAGAAAUAUCCUUUUUACAGAAAUCGAUUUUGAUUGAUAAACCCUAAAAAUUUGAUUUCUAAUUUUUGUGUCUGAAAUUCGCAAAAGAAGAUUGAAGUAAAAUCCUUGAAGAUUCAGGUAUUACCUCUACCCUAUUUGUUUUUUUUUUAUCUCUAUGUUUUGCAAGUUGUUUGUUUGAUUUAUGUAUUUAUGAAUUGAUUUCCAUUUGAGGGUUAUGUGUUUGAUUUUUUACUGUGGGUCUGUGAACUGAUUUCUGUUUGAUAUUAACCCUUUGUUUGUUUGUUUUUUCUCUAUAUAUUUUGCAAGUUGUGUGUUUGAUUUUUUGUUUCUAUGAACUGAUUUCUAUUUGAGGGUUAUGUUACUUUGUAUUUGAUUUCUCGUUUCGUGUCUUUGAGUUUGCUUUUUGUUAUAAAUUCAUUACAUACUAAGUUCCAUUUUCAUAUUGCUAGAGGUUUACUUGUUGGUUUAGUUUAUUUUGUGUGUAGAGAAUUCUAGAAAAAUCAAGUCUUUCUUAAAGGGAUGACAAAUUCAUGCUCUACAUGCUUACUGCUGGGAAGAAAGCUCUGGCUGAUGGUGGGAUCUCGGAAGAGGUCAUGAAUGAACUGGAUAAAACUAGGUGUGGUGUGAUGAUUGGCUAUGGGAUGGGUGGUAUGAAGGUUUUCAAUGAUGCAAUUGAAGCCUUAAGGAUAUCUUACAAAAGGAUGAAUCCUUUUUGUGUUCCGUUUGCUACUACAAGUAUGGGUUCUGCCAUGCUCACAAUAGAUCUGGGAUGGAUGGGCCCAAACUAUUCUAUCUCAACGACCUGUGCCACCAGCAACAUCUUUAUUCUGAAUGCAAGGAAUCACAUCAUUAGAGGAGAAGUUGAUGUGAUGCUCCGUGGAGGCUCCGAUUCAGUAAUAAUACCUUUAGGAGGUUUUGUGGCAUGUAGAGCAUUUUCAAAAAGCAAAGAGGAUCCAACCAAAGCUCUUGGGAUAUUGUACUUACCUAUGAUAUUUUCUCUUACACAAAUAUGUAUUAACAGCUUUUGUACGAAAUAUAAAAUUGGCAGAUUAGUUAGUCAUAUUUCAGAUCAAGCUAGUGUUUCAGUUUUCGGCUAUGUAUCAAUUACAUGUCAUAGUAUUAGAAAUUUUUAUUUAUCAAACUAUCACUAUCCAAUUUAGAAAUUAUUAACCCAUGCGAAGUAGAGAUGGAGUUCUACUUCUUGAAGAAUUAGACCAUGCGAAGAAAAGAGGAGCAACUAUCUAUGCUAAGUUUCUUGGCGGAAGCUUUACUUCUGAUGCUUAUCGUAUGACCGAGUUGGAAUUUUCGUUAUAGUUGAACUGCACAUGGUUGGGGAUCAGCAUCGAGGGUAUCUUUAGGAGCUGAUGUUGACCAAACUUCGGUAUGCAGCGGGGGAAGGUAAUACAUAAUCAUCUAGCGGAGAAAGCUCUGGUUCAACCUUGCUCAUGGUUUACAGACUGUUGGAACUAUGCAAUGAGAUGACUUGUGAAUGAAAUGCUUAUCGGGUCUAUCGCCAAAGAAGUUGGAUCAUAGUAAAUUCUUGGCACAGGACAGUUCAAGGUUUUAGAUAGAAUAUGAAGACAUAAUAGAAGGUGCCUCUAAAUUUGGUACUUGUCUCCAAUCUGAUCUUAAACUGUUGGACUGACAAUCUACAUCAAGGAUACCUUCAUUGUCACUCAUUUGGUACUUGUCACUCAUUUGUAGGGUGUACCAUGUUAUUCAAUACCAAAAUAUGCUCAACUUUGAUCCCAAAUGGUAGUGCCAGACUUGCAGUUAUAGGAAGUAGCUGUUUUUUUAUAUAAUUUUAAGUACCUGUUACUGGUAAUCACAUGUGUUUCAAGCCAGGUGUAAAAGCUAAGACUUUGAAGCAACCCAAGGCACAACAAAAAGAAUAUGAUGAGACUGACUUGGCAAAUCUUCAGAAGAAGAAGAGGGAAGCUUUAUGUUAGGUGGUGCUGGACUAAACAAAAGUGAACAGAUCUGAACAAGAUGCUCUAGUAAAGGUGGAAUUAUAAGGAAAUCAAGAAGACAAAGUUGGAUAAGCAUAAUAUGAUUUGAGUUAACAAGUUAUAUAGGUAGUUUCUUUUUUUCUAAAUUCUUGUAGAAAAUGUAUCCACUGAUGCAUGAUGAAGUCCGGUGACAUUGAUUGAACAAGAAACCCAAAAUAUGCUCAACAUUGAUCCCAAAUUGUUGAGACAUACUUUUUAUCCAUAGUUUAUUUUGUUAAAAUUCAGUGAUCUUACAUCUGUAACUGAUUGUAUGGAUGGAUCAAUAUGUGAUGCUGCAAUUCCAUGUGAUAAUAGAAUUGAUUGAAUAAUGGUUUCAUUUAUGA
This is a long non-coding RNA of Papaver somniferum (opium poppy), 2582 nucleotides long. RefSeq lists it as uncharacterized. The record is from RefSeq and is a predicted model, not a curated record. NCBI's taxonomy places the organism in Eukaryota, Viridiplantae, Streptophyta, Magnoliopsida, Ranunculales, Papaveraceae. The transcript has 11 exons.